CAAACACAACAGCACGACACAUCGGGUCUCACAUUAAUUUUAUAUAAAAAUUACUUAAAAAAUAUCAAAAAAAUUAUAAAAAGGAGAAAAUCAAAAAAGUUUGCGUCGCAAGUUUAAUAUUUAAUGAUAUAAUAUGCCUGUUUACUACGGAGGGUUUGUCGGUGGUCAUCAAGGGGGUGGCUACUGUUUGUAUGCUACGACAUGCAACCCGAGCAUGCCGGGCUGCGGCCCUUGCUGCUAGCUCUCCUCUAAAACUAAGGUAAUUUCAAGAUGAAAGUAAGCUGUAGGGGUGCUGGCACGUGAUGCGCCGACAGACCUUCGUAACGCAUUCCGGUCAAAUUUUUUGUACAAUGAAUAAACUAAUAUACCUAUA
This is a long non-coding RNA of Papilio polytes (common Mormon), 373 nucleotides long. RefSeq lists it as uncharacterized. The transcript has 2 exons. The record is from RefSeq and is a predicted model, not a curated record. NCBI's taxonomy places the organism in Eukaryota, Metazoa, Arthropoda, Insecta, Lepidoptera, Papilionidae.